GCCUCCUCCUCCUUCGCUCGUCGUCGUCAGCCGGCUUCGAUGACAUCGUUCGUCUCUCGAUUCGUCUCGCCCACUUGCUUUUUGAUUUUUAUGUGCUUCGUCUUCUACUUUCAACUUGUGAUUUUUCUGUGCUUCGUCAUCUGGUCGUUGGGAUGAUCAGUCUCUGAUCGGUUCCCAAUCGACUCGUUCCCUUGAAGCAACAUCAUCCUGUUGUAUCCUGUGUUCGCCUCUUUCGUGUGCCCUCGGAGUUGUCUCUCAGGGCACCGGCGGCUCUUACAUACAUAACACAACACUAUCAAUCUACCGUGUUCCCUCUACUUCUAUUUUUUCUUGGCUUUUCUGACAACCGUGAUGAGCCUCUUUUACAGUUGCAGACCUGUAAUGACUCCUGCGGAAAUGAUCGCAUGGUCAAAGAACAUCUAAGGGACUGAGUUGUCUUCGCAAUCUACAUUUUGUAGCGUGGGUAUCUGGAUCUCGUUUUUUUCUGGUGCAUCUCUGUUUUUUUCUGGCGUAAUCGUUUUUUGUGCUCUCUUGUUUUAAUCUGCUUCUCUUUAAGUAUUCGUGUCUGUGAACUAACUUCAAUGGUUCCUGGGCAAUGAUGAGAUGGGAAGCAGAAAUCAAAUGUUCCUCUCGCUAUCCAAUGCGGAAUUUCCUGAUGCGAUUGGACGUCGAGGAACUACAUUUUGUCAUCAAAAACAGAUUACAAAUUGCGGAUGAAGUAUUUAUUGUCAUCUUGGAGUUCUUGCCCUCACGAAAUAGAACGGCCGUGUUAUUUGACAGUAUAUGGGAACGUACUAAGUAGUACUAACUCAUAAUUAUAAAACUGGCAGAUGACCACCACACUUGGACGGGAGAUCUUUUUUUUAUGUCAAACAACGAUUUAAGAGCCAAUGGGCCCAAGGAUAUAUCUAUGCCAAGAAGUAGAAAACUGAGUCUGGACGAAUGUAAUCUCCUUCAAAAAUACUUGUUCGUGUUCCUGUCAGGAACGCCUUACUCCGUAUGACAAUUUGUGGGCGCAGCCAUAAUUUUGAUCAAAUUUACGUUAACUAUCUUUUAUAUGCCGAAGAAAACAUGAUAUUUUGUGUUGCGUUCCCAAGUAUAUGACCUGUACCGAUCAUGCGCCUGCUACAUCUGUUGAAUUUGUGUGCUUCGUCAUCUGGUCGUUGGGAUGAUCAGGCUCUGAUCGGUUUCCAACCGACUCGUUCCCUUGAAGCAACAUCGUCCUGUUGUAUCCUGUGUUCGCUUCUUUCGUGUGCCUUUGUAGUCGUCUCUCAGGGCGCCAGCGGCUCUUACAUACAUGACAUUAUCAAUCAAUCUCCUGUGUUCAAUCUAUUUCUCUCUUGUUUGCUUUUUCUGACAACCGUGAUGAGCCUCUUUUACACUUACAGACCUGUAAUGACUCCUGCGGAAAUGAUCGCAUGGUCAAAGAACAUCUAAGGGACUGAGUUG
This 1449-nucleotide long non-coding RNA is filed under the name Brachypodium distachyon (stiff brome). RNAcentral's name for it is "long non-coding RNA (BDIS_LNC003942)". The stretch from base 342 to 437 matches the Rfam family "Small nucleolar RNA SNORD25". The record is from RNAcentral. Lineage: Eukaryota; Viridiplantae; Streptophyta; Magnoliopsida; Poales; Poaceae.